AACGAACGCUGGCGGCAUGCCUAACACAUGCAAGUCGAACGAGACCUUCGGGUCUAGUGGCGCACGGGUGCGUAACGCGUGGGAAUCUACCCUUGGGUUCGGAAUAACAGUUAGAAAUGACUGCUAAUACCGGAUGAUGACGUAAGUCCAAAGAUUUAUCGCCCAAGGAUGAGCCCGCGUAAGAUUAGCUUGUUGGUGGGGUAAUGGCCUACCAAGGCGACGAUCUUUAGCUGGUCUGAGAGGAUGAUCAGCCACACUGGGACUGAGACACGGCCCAGACUCCUACGGGAGGAAGCAGUGGGGAAUAUUGGACAAUGGGCGAAAGCCUGAUCCAGCAAUGCCGCGUGAGGGAUGAAGGCCUUAGGGUUGUAAAGCUCUUUUACCAGGGAUGAUAAUGACAGUACCUGGAGAAUAAGCCCCGGCUAACUCCGUGCCAGCCGCCGCCGUAA
This 449-nucleotide ribosomal RNA is filed under the name uncultured bacterium. RNAcentral describes it as "partial 16S ribosomal RNA". It matches the Rfam family "Bacterial small subunit ribosomal RNA", at positions 29 to 523 of the family's 1533-position model. The record is from RNAcentral.